CGGCGGGGGGGGGGGGGGCACGGGGGGCCUACGGGAGGCAGCAGUGGGGAAUUUUGGACAAUGGGGGCAACCCUGAUCCAGCAAUGCCGCGUGAGUGAAGAAGGCCUUCGGGUUGUAAAGCUCUUUUGUCAGGGAAGAAACGGUGCGAGCUAAUAUCUCGUGC
Molecule: ribosomal RNA, 163 nt
Filed under: uncultured bacterium
Lineage: Bacteria
Description: partial 16S ribosomal RNA
Rfam family: Bacterial small subunit ribosomal RNA
Source: RNAcentral